RNAcentral lists this ribosomal RNA (923 nucleotides) under Ecytonucleospora hepatopenaei. Its description in RNAcentral is "bacterial SSU rRNA". It matches the Rfam family "Microsporidia small subunit ribosomal RNA", at positions 258 to 1188 of the family's 1311-position model. The record is from RNAcentral. Lineage: Eukaryota; Fungi; Microsporidia; Enterocytozoonidae.
AGAGAUGGCUCCCACGUCCAAGGAUGGCAGCAGGCGCGAAAAUUGUCCACUCUUUUGAGAGGAGACAGUUAUGAAACGUGAGUAGAAGGGUCGAGUGUAAAAACCUUGACGUGAAGCAAUUGGAGGGCAAGUUUUGGUGCCAGCAGCCGCGGUAAUUCCAACUCCAAGAGUGUCUAUGGUGGAUGCUGCAGUUAAAGGGUCCGUAGUCGUAGAUGCAAUUAAAAGGUGGUGUUAAAAGCCAUUGAGUUUGUUGAGAGUAGCGGAACGGAUAGGGAGCAUGGUAUAGGUGGGCAAAGAAUGAAAUCUCAAGACCCCACCUGGACCAACGGAGGCGAAAGCGAUGCUCUUAGACGUAUCUGGGGAUCAAGGACGAAGGCUAGAGUAUCGAAAGUGAUUAGACACCGCUGUAGUUCUAGCAGUAAACUAUGCCGACAAUGCUGGGUGUUGCGAGAGCGAUGCUUGGUGUGGGAGAAAUCUUAGUUUUCGGGCUCUGGGGAUAGUACGCUCGCAAGGGUGAAACUUAAAGCGAAAUUGACGGAAGGACACUACCAGGAGUGGAUUGUGCUGCUUAAUUUAACUCAACGCGGGAAAACUUACCAGGGUCAAGUCUAUCGUAGAUUGGAGACAUGAGGUAGACAAGAGUGGUGCAUGGCCGUUGGAAAUUGAUGGGGCGACUUUUAGCUUAAGUGCUGGAACCAGUGAGAUCUUCUAGACAGGUGUUAUUUAGGCACAGGAGGGAGAAGGCAAUAACAGGUCCGUGAUGCCCUUAGAUAUCCUGGGCAGCAAGCGCAAUACAAUAUCUCUUGAGAAGACAAAGCAAUUUGAGAUGAGUAGGAUUAGCUUUUGUAAAUAAGCUAUGAAUGAGGAAUUCCUAGUAACAGUGUCUCAUCAAGGCAUUGUGAAUGUGUCCCUGUUCUUUGUAC